Perca flavescens (yellow perch) is the source of this 2286-nucleotide RNA transcript. It is a transcript of the gene named heterogeneous nuclear ribonucleoprotein D, with no coding region annotated. The record is from RefSeq and is a predicted model, not a curated record. NCBI's taxonomy places the organism in Eukaryota, Metazoa, Chordata, Actinopteri, Perciformes, Percidae. The transcript is spliced from 9 exons.
UAUAGCCAUGGAAGCUCCGCACUCCAGCCCAGCAGGUGGCGGUAAUGCGCCUAUAAAGAGGUUCGUUAACCGCCGAUAAAACUCAAAGAAGAAGAACAAGAAAAACGACGCUCACAAACCCCCCUAAAUUGUAGCAACUGAAACUAAAUUUUGUCUAUGAAACACAUUUUUACCUAAAACCAGACUAACUUUACAGUUAUAUUAACUUAUACAAACGAAAUAACUUGCUCUAAUUAACGACGACGAGUUACAGCUAACGAUACAUGAUAACAACAAUAUUAGCUAGCCGCUAGCUAGCAUUAGCUGUCAGCAAGCCAACUAGCUAACGUCAGCUUUUAGCUUUUAGCUUCUGCAAAUAAUUCUGACGUUGCUCGAGUUCAGCGACAACGUUUAAAAGCCAAAAACAAUGUCGGACGACUAUGAGUUCAGCGACGACACGACCAUGAUGAGGAUGGAAGAGGACGGGGAGGCAAACAGCGACGAGCCGAUGUCUGCAGCCGGGGACUGUGGCCCGGUGGGGGGCGAGGCCGAGGGAUCAAGAAUUGACGCCAGUAAAAACGAGGAGGAUGAGGGUAAGAUGUUUGUAGGAGGGCUCAGCUGGGACACGACUAAGAAGGACCUGAAAGAUUAUUUUUCCAAGUACGGGGAGGUUGUAGACUGCACUUUAAAACUGGACCCCAUGACUGGCCGUUCACGGGGCUUUGGCUUUGUGCUCUUCAAAGAACCAGACAGUGUUGACAAGGUUGCCACACAGAAGGAACAUAAACUCAAUGGAAAGGUUAUUGACCCCAAAAAAGCCAAAGCCAUGAAGAGCAAGGAGCCCGUAAAGAAGAUCUUUGUUGGUGGUCUCUCUCCAGACACUCCUGAAGACAAAGUCAGAGAGUACUUUAGUGCCUUCGGAGAGCUGGAGUCAAUUGAACUUCCCAUGGAAAACAAAACCAACAAAAGGAGAGGCUUCUGCUUCAUCACAUUCAAAGAGGAGGAACCAGUUAAGGGCAUCAUGGAGAAAAAGUACCACAAUAUUGGACUAAGCAAGUGUGAAAUAAAAGUGGCAAUGUCCAAGGAACAGUAUCAGCAGCAGCAGUACUGGGGAGGCAGAGGUGGCUACCCAUCCAGGUCUCGAGGAAGAGGCGGUGGUCCCAAUCAGAAUUGGAACCAGGGUUAUGGCAACUACUGGAAUCAAGGCUAUGGGAAUUAUGGCAAUUAUGGUUACAAUAAUCAAGGAUAUGGAGGAUACGGUGGCUAUGAUUACCCUGGUUACAACAACUAUUAUGGAUAUGGUGACUACAACGAUGAAUCUGGUGGAUAUGGCAAGUCGCCACGGCGUGGUGGUCACACCAACAGUUACAAGCCGUAUUAACGGAGGAAACUCAUCUUCAAGUAGCGGAGCUUCCUUGCAGGCCAUGAGCUGACUCCCAGAUACUCUCAGGGCCCGCUCAAUGCGGACCGGGUACGAGAAGCAUACGCUCUCGAAUGCUGCCAUUUGGUUUCAGAGUGAUGAAAGACAGCAGAGCGCUGGUGGAGCGUUGGCCAGAGAGAUGAUGGUAUCCAGCAAAGAUCACUAGCUGAUUGUAAGAAACUCAUGAAGAGCACUAUGACCUACACUACAUUUCCUCUAUAUUUACCGGAGUAUUUGUUGUAUCCCAAAAGUUUUGGUGUUUUGCAUUUAUUUAGAUUGCUGCAAAGUUUGGGCAGUUUGCAUUUCCUAAUCCUCUAUUCUUUUUGUAUUUAAUGUUCUCAAAUGCUAUUUGUGAAUUGCUUCAAUUAUUACAUAACAGAAAUGUUAGAUUGGUUGGAACAGAUCACACACACACAUACAUAUACAGUAUUGUAGUAGCAAAGAAUGCAUAAAAUGCAUUGUUACAAUUUACUUUUUAUCGUAGUCAUCAGUCAUAUAAUACAUAUGUUAUUACAGAGUCUGACAGUCAUAAACAGAAUAUAUAUAUACAGGUAAUUGGACAUAAAGAAGUACAAUAACAAUAAAAAUAAAGACUCAUUUGGAUAUGUGAUCCGUUGUGAAAUAGUAAUAUUACGUCACAUUGACUGUUGGAGUGUUCAAGAAGUAUUUCAGCCAAGUUUCUAAUAAUUUAAGCUCUAAUUUGUAUCCUGUCAUCGUAAGCUUUAUCGUAGAGCAUCCUGACCAAUAAGCUUGCAGGUGUUACAAAAUCAUCUACCCUUUUUGAAUUUACGUAAAUAUUUCUUGAAAUGUCCGUUUGUUUGAGCUGAAAUGAUCUGAGACUCUCUUCACGAGAGCAAUUACACGCUAAAUAAAAGAGGUGAGCUUCA